RNAcentral lists this ribosomal RNA (497 nucleotides) under uncultured bacterium. RNAcentral's name for it is "partial 16S ribosomal RNA". It matches the Rfam family "Bacterial small subunit ribosomal RNA", at positions 38 to 507 of the family's 1533-position model. The record is from RNAcentral.
GGGGGGGGGGGGGGGGGGGCCGGGGGGAGGCAGGGCGGGCGAGCAGACGAGGAGCUUGCGCCGCUGACGUUAGCGGCGGACGGGUGAGGAACACGUGGAUAACCUACCUAUAAGACUGGGAUAACUUCGGGAAACCGGAGCUAAUACCGGAUAAUAUAUUGACCCGCAUGGUUCCAUAGUGAAAGACGGUUUUGCUGUCACUUAUAGAUGGAUCCGCGCCGCAUUAGCUAGUUGGUAAGGUAACGGCUUACCAAGGCGACGAUGCGUAGCCGACCUGAGAGGGUGAUCGGCCACACUGGAACUGAGACACGGUCCAGACUCCUACGGGAGGCAGCAGUAGGGAAUCUUCCGCAAUGGGCGAAAGCCUGACGGAGCAACGCCGCGUGAGUGAUGAAGGUCUUCGGAUCGUAAAACUCUGUUAUUAGGGAAGAACAAAUGUGUAAGUAACUAUGCACGUCUUGACGGUACCUAAUCAGAAAGCCACGGCUAACUACGUG